GACGUAGGGGGCGAGCGUUGUCCGGAGUCACUGGGCGUAAAGGGCGCGCAGGCGGUCGCGUGGGCCAUCGCGUGAAAGCCCCCGGCUCAACCGGGCGGUGGCGGGUGGGACCGCGCGGCUGGAGGGUGGUAGGGGCCGGUGGAAUUCCCGGUGUAGUGGUGAAAUGCGUAGAUACCGGGAGGAACACCCGCAGCGAAGGCGGCCGGCUGGGCCAACCCUGACGCUGAGGCGCGAAGGCUCGGGGAGCGAACGGG
This 254-nucleotide ribosomal RNA is filed under the name uncultured bacterium. RNAcentral describes it as "partial 16S ribosomal RNA". It matches the Rfam family "Bacterial small subunit ribosomal RNA", at positions 524 to 776 of the family's 1533-position model. The record is from RNAcentral. RNAcentral also lists the same sequence under 1 other name.